RNAcentral lists this ribosomal RNA (518 nucleotides) under uncultured Actinomycetes bacterium. RNAcentral describes it as "bacterial SSU rRNA". It matches the Rfam family "Bacterial small subunit ribosomal RNA", at positions 368 to 896 of the family's 1533-position model. The record is from RNAcentral. Lineage: Bacteria; Bacillati; Actinomycetota; Actinomycetes.
ACAAUGGGCGAAAGCCUGAUCCAGCAACGCCGCGUGAGGGAUGACGGCCUUCGGGUUGUAAACCUCUUUCAGUAGGGACGAAGCUAACGUGACGGUACCUACAGAAGAAGCACCGGCCAACUACGUGCCAGCAGCCGCGGUAAUACGUAGGGUGCGAGCGUUGUCCGGAAUUAUUGGGCGUAAAGGGCUCGUAGGCGGUUUGUCACGUCGGGAGUGAAAACUCGGGGCUUAACUCCGAGCCUGCUUCCGAUACGGGCUGACUAGAGGUAUGCAGGGGAGAACGGAAUUCCUGGUGUAGCGGUGAAAUGCGCAGAUAUCAGGAGGAACACCGGUGGCGAAGGCGGUUCUCUGGGCAUUACCUGACGCUGAGGAGCGAAAGUGUGGGGAGCGAACAGGAUUAGAUACCCUGAUAGUCCACACCGUAAACGUUGGGCGCUAGGUGUGGGACUCAUUCCACGAGUUCCGUGCCGCAGCUAACGCAUUAAGCGCCCCGCCUGGGGAGUACGGCCGCAAGGCUA